Long non-coding RNA from Pipistrellus kuhlii (Kuhl's pipistrelle), 2080 nucleotides. RefSeq lists it as uncharacterized. NCBI's taxonomy places the organism in Eukaryota, Metazoa, Chordata, Mammalia, Chiroptera, Vespertilionidae. The record is from RefSeq and is a predicted model, not a curated record. The transcript has 2 exons.
UCCGGGGUCCGGGGUCCGAGAGCCUUUCCCCGCUCCGGGCACGCCCGCUGCGUCCCGCUUGCUCUGCCCGGCCCGGCACCGCACCGUCCUGGGAAGUUAGUUUGUGCGUCGGGACGCGCUGGUCUGGGGGACCCGGCUGAGCGCAGGGACUUUGCAUUGGAGACGGGAAUGCUCCUGGGGCAUCCUCAGUACGUGGGGAGUCUAUAAGUUGUGUAACUGGACAUGGAGGAACCAAAGCCCGUGGGGCCGGGCACCCGGUAUGACUGGGCUGAGAGUUAACGGGUCUCUCUUCUUUUUCGAAUACUCUUCUUUGUCUGGGUUCUUGGGAGAGAUCUCCAAACUCUUAGUCUCAAGACAGACAAUUAGAGCGGAAAGUUAGGGCUCACUUUCGGACUGCUUCCUUGUUUCUCUAAAUUAGGGAGAUAGCUGGAUCUUGGUUGUUUUUUAUUUCUCUGCUAAAGAUUGCAGGUUACACUGAAUGCUUAGGUUUAGGUGCCUUUUAUCUCGACCCAGGAUAUUGGCCCUUAAUUUUUGUACUGACAAGUGCUGUAAAUGAAACCACUUCUACAUAUCUGCUGGGUGGUAGGGAGAGCAUUAAAAAAAGAAAGGGGGAAAAAAAAAAAAAAAGAAAGGAAGGAAGAAAAAGGAGUCACCUUGAUCUCUUUUUGGAACAGAUUUGUCAAGGAUUGUGUUAGGGGUGACCUGGGAGGACUUUGGUCAUUGCACCAAGACGCUUUUAUUCCAGCCUCCACUGUGGACUGCUGGAGUGACCUUGGCAAGUUCUUUUCCCUCCAGGCCACUCGGAGCUUUGUGUAAUGUGCUUUUAACCUAUGGCGGCGGCUUUGCUGUGUUUCUUUAGGGAUUUUCUCAUCAAUUUGAUCAGGUUAUCCAUGUUGAGUGGGCAUUAGACUACAAAUUGGACUCAGACCUCUCCUACAGGGUCCAUAAAGCAUAAUUAAAUAUUUAUCAUGUAGAUAUUCAUCUUCUGCAGAGACAGAUAUUAUUACUUCUCUUUUAUUCAAUAGCACUAAGAUGAGCUAUAUUAAAAUAAGUAUAUUUGGAUUCUGAAUUCAUUCUAAAAAUACAUUCUGUUCCUUUUGCUGUGUUAAAUUAUUUACAUGUUUGAUAAGACAUUCUUCAUCUUUAAACAAAUUUCAGUUAUAUUACUGAGGUCUUGUUGUUUACUGGAUAGGUACUUAUUUGUGGUAGUUUUAUUGUUGUAAAAUCCUUAGACAUUAUACAGCAGCGUAUUCCACAAACUGUUUGACUACAGCGUUUGAGUUCAUCUACACAAUUACGUUGCUAACGCUUUAUUCUUCCAACCACGAACAAUAUAGUCAAUAUUCUCUCUAAUAUUCUGUCCUCAAUUUGCUCCGAUAACUGAUUAAGUGAGAUGAUACAUGUAUAAGUUCUUGUGAAGUGUGCUGGUAUGUGUUAAUGUAAACAUAUGAAAAGUGUUGCAUGGUAAAUAAUUCCGAUGCAGAUUUUUAGAACAAAUAUGUUUCAUAAGUCUUUCUGAAUCUGGGAUUUGUUAGUUUAACAAAAUGGUCGAAUUAGUUUUGAUUAUAUCAUAUACACAACCUUCCUAUUUGUUUUUGCAAAAAAAUACAUAGCUUUUUGUAAGCACAUGCAGUUCAGAAAGUAUCCUACCCAUGAUCUAAUUUAAGUGGCAUAAUACAGAUAUCUAUAAUGGCUGCAAUAAAAAAUAAAUGAGGGAAUUUUAUUUCUUUGAGAAGGUACAAAAAUGAUUACAAAUGAAAUGUAAUAGUGUGUUAUUUGAAAUAAAAUUGAACAGUUUUCACCCCAAUGCUAAAAUAAUUUUUUAAGCACAACAGCUCUUGAUGUUAUUAGAGCCUCAUUAUUUGUUGAAUGACCAAUGAUUCAUUAUUUUUGAAUUCAUGAUACAUUGGAGUGCUGGUGAUAUUUCCAAGUUUGUAUGAUGCCUUUGCACAUGAAGAAGAUAAUUGCAAUAUCAAUAAAACAGUGCUGCUCAUUUCUCUUCAUAUUAUUUACAAAUAUAUGGAAAGAAAGCUUUUGCUAAAAAAAAAUUGAUGUGUCAAAUCUGAUGGGUAAGACUGGA